GCGUUCUUGGUGUAGUGGUCAGCACGCUCGACUCGUAACCGAGAGGUCCGUGGUUCAACCCGGCGAAGGCG
This 71-nucleotide transfer RNA is filed under the name Stegodyphus mimosarum. It matches the Rfam family "tRNA". Rfam says of the family: Transfer RNA (tRNA) molecules are approximately 80 nucleotides in length. Their secondary structure includes four short double-helical elements and three loops (D, anti-codon, and T loops). Lineage: Eukaryota; Metazoa; Arthropoda; Arachnida; Araneae; Eresidae. The record is from Rfam by way of RNAcentral.